RNAcentral lists this ribosomal RNA (403 nucleotides) under Fusobacteriota bacterium. RNAcentral describes it as "Fusobacteria bacterium partial 16S ribosomal RNA". It matches the Rfam family "Bacterial small subunit ribosomal RNA", at positions 355 to 776 of the family's 1533-position model. The record is from RNAcentral. Lineage: Bacteria; Fusobacteriati; Fusobacteriota.
UGGGGAAUUUUGCACAAUGGAGGAAACUCUGAUGCAGCGACGCCGCGUGAGUGAUGAAGAUCUUCGGAUUGUAAAACUCUGUCCUUAGUGAAGAUAAUGACAGUAACUAAGAAGCAAGCCCUGGCUAAAUACGUGCCAGCAGCCGCGGUAAUACGUAUGGGGCAAGCGUUGUCCGGAAUUAUUGGGCGUAAAGGGUACGUAGGCGGUUUAAUAAGUCCUAAUUAAAAGGCUAUGGCUCAACCAUAGUAUGGUUAGGAAACUGUUGAACUUGAUUAGAUGAGGGGAAAGUGGAAUUCCAUGUGUAGCGGUGAAAUGCGUAGAUAUAUGGAGGAACACCAAUGGCGAAGGCAACUUUCUGGAAUCAAACUGACGCUGAGGUACGAAGGCGUGGGGAGCAAACAGG